This 429-nucleotide ribosomal RNA is filed under the name uncultured bacterium. RNAcentral describes it as "bacterial SSU rRNA". It matches the Rfam family "Bacterial small subunit ribosomal RNA", at positions 355 to 776 of the family's 1533-position model. The record is from RNAcentral.
UGGGGAAUUUUGGACAAUGGGCGCAAGCCUGAUCCAGCAAUGCCGCGUGCAGGAUGAAGGCCUUCGGGUUGUAAACUGCUUUUGUACGGAACGAAAAGGUCUUGGUUAAUACCUGAGGCUGAUGACGGUACCGUAAGAAUAAGCACCGGCUAACUACGUGCCAGCAGCCGCGGUAAUACGUAGGGUGCGAGCGUUAAUCGGAAUUACUGGGCGUAAAGCGUGCGCAGGCGGUUAUGUAAGUCAGAUGUGAAAUCCCCGGGCUCAACCUGGGACCUGCAUUUGAGACUGCAUAGCUAGAGUACGGCAGAGGGGGAUGGAAUUCCGCGUGUAGCAGUGAAAUGCGUAGAUAUGCGGAGGAACACCGAUGGCGAAGGCAAUCCCCUGGGCCUGUACUGACGCUCAUGCACGAAAGCGUGGGGAGCAAACAGG